GGUUGAGGCUCAGUGGUAGAGCACAAGUCUAGCAUGCAUGAGGCACUGUGUUCAAUCCUCAGCACCA
Molecule: transfer RNA, 67 nt
Filed under: Marmota monax (woodchuck)
Lineage: Eukaryota; Metazoa; Chordata; Mammalia; Rodentia; Sciuridae
Description: tRNA.Ala
Source: RNAcentral